AUAAACCCCCUUACAGAGUGCUUUCCCCAAAGAGGGGCCAGGGAGCCUGUGUGAUGCUUGUCACUCACAGCGUUGGCCAGACCCUUUCCGACCUUCUCUGGGGGUCCCCAGAGGUGCAGGAUCUCUCAUGCUCUCUGCAGAACUCGGGCCGUGAGCACUGGACUCCGGGGCUUGCCACCACAGUGGCCCGGCUCGCUUGUCUCAGCAGGCCAGGACGUUGAGGCCAGGAGGCUGGGGGCUGCCGGCCUGGGAGCUCAGUACUUCCAAGCCUGUCGAUUCUUGCAGUGUUUGAAUAGGGAAGGCCUCUGUGCCAGGCUGCCUGGGAAAAGCUUAUUUACUUUUGCCUUUGUAACGGAGGAGAAUUAAUAAACCGAGAAUUUGUCCUGAAAGCUGAUGGACAUAACCUCGCCCUGAACCCGUCCUCCUCGAAGGACCAGCUCACCCGGGAAAUGUUGUCCACCUGCUUUCUUGGGGCAGGGAGCUCCGCGGUAGCUGUUGGUCUGCACACCGCUGGGUUUCACGGAGGCUCUUUGGUUCAGCGGGAGGAGUGCUGGGUUGGAGCCGCGAGAUCUGGAGUUGAUUCUGCACUGACUCUGAGGCCUUGGACAGUACAAAGACUUCUCCUUUCUGCCUCCCCUGAAGCAUGAAGGGGUGGGACCAGUGGUCCCCAGGGGCCCAUCCCCACCUUGCGUCUUGAGGUAGAAUUGGGCUCCUCCUGCUAAGCUUUCUUCCUCUGCAGAAAUUCCUGCUCACUCUCCUUCUGCCUCUGCUGAUCAGCUUCUUCCCUGGUCCUUUGCAGAAGUCCCUGUGGGCAGAGACGUGCUGGUGAAUAGUGAACACCUGCCUGGGCGGGGCCUGGUGUGUAGCAUUUGCCACUUUCCCUGGUGUAUGUACGCUUUCCCUGGAGGGUUUCAGGCCACCCCACGUGACUUCACUCAAGAGAUGUGCAUGGAUCGGCUCUCAAAGCCCAUGUGAGCUGACUUCACCCACCCCUGCCCAUGGGCCUCUCCCAGAAAUGGAGAGUAGACUCAGGAACAAAGAAAUCCAGUGGGAGGGAGAGCUGCCUCUCAACAGAGCGAGAAGCUGUUGGUGCUUUGCUGGCCUCCUUGGUUUGGAGGGGCAUGGCUGCCUUCUGAGUGGAAGCUGGACCCUGGGUGGAGGUACAGGAGGGGGGAACUCCUGGGCUCCCCCACCUCCCAGUGGAGUUUUGGGUCCUCUCUCCAGGCCCUGUCCUUCCACUGCACUCACCCCGUUUGGGGCCCUACGUGGGGCUUUCUGCUAACUGCUCCAGCGGCCCCAGCCUUGGGGGUAGGUGCAACUUCUGGGCACCCUGGCGGCCCUCAGGGAGUCUAGAGAGAGAACUCCGUGGAACCCAGCAGCUGAAUUUAUGUGAACAGCUUCAGGUGCUCCCGGGUGUGUGUAGGGGGUGGGAGGUGACCUUAGAGAUGUCAUAUCUGGUGGCCUCUCAGCACCUCUAUUUUUUUCAUGGAAGAAAAUUGGGUUUAUGUAGACCUGCAACCUGGGUAAGCUUGGGUUAUUCUCAUUUUAGACUUUGGUUUUCCAAGAUAGGGACUAGGUUGGGUGAGUAUGGGACAAGGACCUGGUGAGACUUGAAUGCAGUAUUGGCCAGGUGCUGGAUGUGGGACAGGAGAGAGGAAGGGGCACUAAAUUGGGAGCCUGAGACCUGAAUUCUGCUGGAUCUUGUUUCCUCCUCUGUGAAAGGGUGUAAUGAUAGCCCUGCCUCCUGGAGUUGUUGUGGGGAUUAAAUGAGAUGAUCCCAGUAAAGCCUUUGAUUCAGUGGUGGGCUUAUGAUAAGUGCUCAAUAAAGAAAACAAUAGAACAACAUGGAAAAUACAAACACCACGGUGGAUUGGGGGGCUGAACUGAGCUAAGGUCUCGCAGCUCCUCAUCCGGAGGUGGGACUUGCAGUGGGAGUUGUCGGCAUGGGGACAGGUGCAGGGUCAGCCAGAUGAAAGGCUCUAGGGGAGACCUUGGGAGGGAAGGGGGGCUGCCCAAGGUAGGGGGCAGCUGAGGGAACUGCUCAGUGUCCUCGUCACAGCCUUCCCAGCAGCUGCUGUUAGACCCUCAACUAACAGAGAGUUAAAGACUGGAAAUCAAUGAAAGGUCAAGUGCUUGACUUCACGAUAGCCAGAGGUGGGGGCAGCCCAAGGGUCCAUCAGUGGAAGAAAGGAUAAGCACAAUGGUAUGUAUCCAGGCAAUGGAACAUCAUCCAGACGUUAAAAGGAAUGAAGUCCUGAUACAUGCUACAACAUGGGUAAACCUUGACAACUUUAUGCUGAGUGAAAGAAGCCAGACACAGAAGGCCACUUAGUAUGUGAGUCCGUUUAUAUGAAAUGCCCAGAAUAAGCAAAUCCAGAGACAGAGAGCAGAUUAGUGGUUGCCAAGGACUGGGAAGAAGGAGGAAUGGGGAUGCCUGUUUGAUGGGUACAGGCUUUCCUUUUGGGGUGAUGGAAAAGUUCUGGAUCUAAAUAGUGUUCAGUUCUUAGUUAAAUCAAAAAA
This is a non-coding RNA of Equus caballus (horse), 2520 nucleotides long. NCBI's taxonomy places the organism in Eukaryota, Metazoa, Chordata, Mammalia, Perissodactyla, Equidae. The record is from RefSeq and is a predicted model, not a curated record.